CCUUGGUGAUGUCACACACGCACGUCUUACGCCAUGUGUUGACGCCAGACCUGUAAAGGGGAACCCACUGGUGUUGCCAUGGCAAGAAGGGGACAGCUUGUUGGAGUUUCCAACAGUCUGAAAGGA
Molecule: small nucleolar RNA, 126 nt
Organism: Syngnathus acus (greater pipefish)
Lineage: Eukaryota; Metazoa; Chordata; Actinopteri; Syngnathiformes; Syngnathidae
Product: small nucleolar RNA SNORD22
Exons: 1
Source: RefSeq, a predicted model, not a curated record